AACGAACGCUGGCGGCAUGCCUAACACAUGCAAGUCGAACGAGACCUUCGGGUCUAGUGGCGGACGGAUGGGUAACCGGUUGGGACAUGCCCAUGGGUUCGGAUUAACUCGCCGAAAGGGGUGCUAAUACCGGCUAUUGUCUUCGGACCAAAGUUUUAUCGAAUUUGGGUGAGCUUGCGUGGGAUUAGCUAGUUGGUAGGCUAAAAGCGUACCAAGGCGAAGAUCCAUAACUGGUCUGCGAGGAUGAUCAGCCACGCUGGGACUGGGACACGGCCCAGACUCCUACGCGAGGCGGCAGAGGGGAAUAUUGGACAAUGGGAUAAGUACUGAUGCAGCAAUGACGCGUGAGUAAUGAAGGCCUGAGGGUUGUAAAGUGCUUUUACCCGGGAUGAUAAUGACAUUACCGGGAGAAUAAGCUCCGGCUAACUCCGUG
This 433-nucleotide ribosomal RNA is filed under the name uncultured bacterium. RNAcentral describes it as "partial 16S ribosomal RNA". It matches the Rfam family "Bacterial small subunit ribosomal RNA", at positions 29 to 507 of the family's 1533-position model. The record is from RNAcentral.